CUACGUCGUACAUCACUAGACAGCAUACUCGAAUAAAAGUCAGUCCAGAAACAGAGGGACAGUCUAUUUCAGCACACUCGACCUCUACAUCGGAUGGUAGACCGUAAAAUACACCACGCGUGACGGCAGGAAGCGGCAUAUUGCUAAUCUGAAAUGUGGGUCCCCAAAGGGGUGAGUACAACCACUCAGCAGAUAAGGAAUCCAAUAACAACUCAAUGCACCAUGCAAAUCAUACAUGCAUUGCAGACAUUACUUACCUUGAAGCCAUGCGCAUACUAUCAUGCAU
This 286-nucleotide long non-coding RNA is filed under the name Eucalyptus grandis. RNAcentral's name for it is "long non-coding RNA (EGRA_LNC000227)". Lineage: Eukaryota; Viridiplantae; Streptophyta; Magnoliopsida; Myrtales; Myrtaceae. The record is from RNAcentral.